Molecule: ribosomal RNA, 200 nt
Filed under: uncultured bacterium
Lineage: Bacteria
Description: partial 16S ribosomal RNA
Rfam family: Bacterial small subunit ribosomal RNA
Source: RNAcentral
AGAGUUUGAUCCUGGCUCAGAACGAACGCUGGCGGCAUGCUUAACACAUGCAAGUCGAACGAAACCAUUAGAGCUUGCUUUUUUGGAAAAGUGGCGCACGGGUGAGUAACGCGUGGAUAACGUGCCCUAGGGUUGGGAAUAACCCGCCGAAAGGCGGAUUAAUACCGAAUGUGUUCUGUUUGAGUUAGCUUAAGCAGAAG